CUUUGCCCCGUGUGAGGGCAGGCUUUGCCCGCUGUGAGGGCAGGCUUUGCCCCGUGUGAGGGCAGGCUUUGCCCGCUGUGAGGGCAGGCUUUGCCCCGUGUGAGGGCAGGCUUUGCCCCGUGUGAGGGCAGGCUUUGCCCGGUGUGAGGGCAGGCUUUGCCCGGUGUGAGGGCAGGCUUUGCCCGCUGUGAGGGCAGGCUUUCCCCAUGUGAAGGACAGGCUCUGCCCGCCACAGCAUAGGGAGGCAGGAAGGGCACUGCCCGCAGCUCCAGGCGGCUCCUGGCAGCAGCCUUUUUCCCUCUUUUGGAAGGCUCUCAGAGGCCCUGGCCCCAUCAGGGCAUCCUGGCCAUAGUGUCAGGAAGGUGGUGACACUCCUGGCAGGUGGGAAAGGGUGAAUUAAAACUGCCCGCCAUAGCAGUGGGUCACUGGGAAGGAAGAUUUGGGCUAUAGACACAGUGUUAAAACCUGGAAUUUUGGGGGCAGAGUUUUGGUGAAACAAGAACCAUCCAAACCUUCAGCAAAGUAAUUCUUUGCUGUAGCUGGUCAUCAUUUUGCCUGCCAUCAAUGACAAAACACUUUGGAACAGGAUGUGUUUACAGCCUUUCUACCCGCACACUGAGCAUCCUCAGCAUUUUAUAAGCUCCAUCUACCUCUAAAUAUUUAGGUGCUUACACAAAGUAUUUGACUUCUAGAAAUGAGCUUCUGCUACUAUUGGCACUAUCUACUGAAGCAGAACAGGAAAACCCAAAGUCUGCAAAGCUCCAGAUCUGUAUAUUCAGUGCCUGAUCUAAAGCCAUUUCAAACCCAUCUAAGUCUCUGUGGAACUGGGAUUCACAUAAGGCCUUUAAUGUUGCUAAAAGGUACUGCACGAUUGAAGAUGACUGUGAGCAGUAAUUACUGAGGAGGAAUUGUGGCUGAGGGCUGGGCAGAAACACCUGGGGUUCAUCUGGAGCUACAGGAACAUUCUUAUUGUGGAGAUGGUCUGUCCUCCCCAAGAUACAGGUAGACAGACUUCAUUGUUUGAUGCCGUUUUUGAAAUUUUGUAGCAGAUUUUUGUAAAUGAAUGAAGUUCUGAAUUAAAUGAGCGAGAGUUUACUGCAGUUGGCACAGUGACUGCUGGGCUCUUUUGUGAGCUGCUAAAUAGACUUGGUUUCAUCCAUCCCCAUUUUUGAUGCUGAUGUGUUUUGGGCAUCUGCAAACAAUUUUUCUGCUAGCUGCUGAGGAGAGAUCAGUGAGGAGGGAGGGUGGUAUCUGAGGGGAUGCUGAAUGAGACUGUAAGCAAGCACACAGGCCACAGGUGUUCUUAAUACCAUCAGCACUGAAACAGUUAACACUGUGGGGAUGGGGAACCUCAGGGUCUCAGUUAACAAAUAUUUAGAAAAACAGAAAAAUAUUUUCUGCUUCCCAGGGCUAUCAUUUCAAGCAGGCUAUGAAGAAGAAAGCUGAGUGAGUUUACAUGUCU
This 1462-nucleotide long non-coding RNA is filed under the name Cyanistes caeruleus (blue tit). RNAcentral's name for it is "lncRNA (ENSCCEG00000012823.1)". The record is from RNAcentral. Lineage: Eukaryota; Metazoa; Chordata; Aves; Passeriformes; Paridae.